GUACACUCCUACGGGAGGCAGCAGUGGGGAAUUUUGGACAAUGGGCGAAAGCCUGAUCCAGCAAUGCCGCGUGUGUGAAGAAGGCCUUCGGGUUGUAAAGCACUUUUGUCCGGAAAGAAAUCCUUGGCUCUAAUACAGUCGGGGGAUGACGGUACCGGAAGAAUAAGCACCGGCUAACUACGUGCCAGCAGCCGCGGUAAUACGUAGGGUGCGAGCGUUAAUCGGAAUUACUGGGCGUAAAGCGUGCGCAGGCGGUUUGCUAAGACCGAUGUGAAAUCCCCGGGCUCAACCUGGGAACUGCAUUGGUGACUGGCAGGCUAGAGUAUGGCAGAGGGGGGUAGAAUUCCACGUGUAGCAGUGAAAUGCGUAGAGAUGUGGAGGAAUACCGAUGGCGAAGGCAGCCCCCUGGGCCAAUACUGACGCUCAUGCACGAAAGCGUGGGGAGCAAACAGGAUUAGAUACCCGAGUAGUCCCAUGAU
RNAcentral lists this ribosomal RNA (479 nucleotides) under uncultured organism. Its description in RNAcentral is "partial 16S ribosomal RNA". It matches the Rfam family "Bacterial small subunit ribosomal RNA", at positions 331 to 801 of the family's 1533-position model. The record is from RNAcentral.